ACAAAAUCGUGUCGGUGGAUCAUCGGUUCAUAGGUCGAUGAAGAGCGCAGCUAACUGCGAUAAGUAAGGUGAAUUGCUAAGCAGAGCCUUAAAUUCUUGAAUGCAAAUGGCGUUAAUAGUAUUUUAUACUAUUAACAUAUAUAAUUGAGGGUG
Molecule: ribosomal RNA, 153 nt
Filed under: Strongyloides procyonis
Lineage: Eukaryota; Metazoa; Nematoda; Chromadorea; Rhabditida; Strongyloididae
Description: 5.8S rRNA
Rfam family: 5.8S ribosomal RNA
About the family: 5.8S ribosomal RNA (5.8S rRNA) is a component of the large subunit of the eukaryotic ribosome. It is transcribed by RNA polymerase I as part of the 45S precursor that also contains 18S and 28S rRNA.
Source: RNAcentral